GAUUAUGGCUCAGGAUGAACGCUAGCUACAGGCUUAACACAUGCAAGUCGAGGGGCAUCAUGGAGUUUGCUUGCAAACUUGAUGGCGACCGGCGCACGGGUGAGUAACGCGUAUCCAACCUUCCCCGCAGUAGGGAAUAGCCCGGCGAAAGUCGGAUUAAUGCCCUAUGCUGUAUUAUGAGGACAUCUGAGCAAUACCAAAGAUUUAUCGCUGCGGGAUGGGGAUGCGUCUGAUUAGCUUGUUGGCGGGGUAACGGCCCACCAAGGCGACGAUCAGUAGGGGUUCUGAGAGGAAGGUCCCCCACAUUGGUACUGAGACACGGACCAAACUCCUACGGGAGGCAGCAGUGAGGAAUAUUGGUCAAUGGGCGAAAGCCUCGACCCAGCAACGCCGCGUGAAGGAAGAAGGUCUUCGGAUUGUAAACUUCCUUUAUGAGGGACGAAGGACGUGACGGUACCUCAUGAAUAAGCCACGGCUAACUACGUGCCAGCCGCCGC
Molecule: ribosomal RNA, 497 nt
Filed under: uncultured bacterium
Lineage: Bacteria
Description: bacterial SSU rRNA
Rfam family: Bacterial small subunit ribosomal RNA
Source: RNAcentral